This 465-nucleotide ribosomal RNA is filed under the name uncultured bacterium. Its description in RNAcentral is "partial 16S ribosomal RNA". It matches the Rfam family "Bacterial small subunit ribosomal RNA", at positions 28 to 507 of the family's 1533-position model. The record is from RNAcentral.
GACGAACGCUGGCGGCGUGCUUAACACAUGCAAGUCGUACGGUAAGGCCCUUUCGGGGGUACACGAGUGGCGAACGGGUGAGUAGCACGUGAGUAACCUGCCCACAACUUUGGGAUAACGCUAGGAAACUGGUGCUAAUACUGGAUAUGUGCUCCUGCUGCAUGGUGGGGGUUGGAAAGCUCCGGCGGUUGUGGAUGGACUCGCGGCCUAUCAGCUUGUUGGUGGGGUAGUGGCCUACCAAGGCGGCGACGGGUAGCCGGCCUGAGAGGGUGACCGGCCACAGUGGGACUGAGAUACGGCCCAGACUCCUACGGGAGGCAGCAGUGGGGAAUAUUGCACAAUGGGCGCAAGCCUGAUGCAGCAACGCCGCGGGCGGGAUGACGGCCUUCGGGUUGUAAACCGCUUUCAGCAGGGACGAAGCUUUUUGUGACGGUACCUGCAGAAGAAGCACCGGCUAACUACGUG